UAAAAAGAUAAGCUAAAUAAGCUCUAGGGUUCAUACCCCGAUUAUAUAGGUAUAAAUCCUAUUCUUUUUAU
Molecule: transfer RNA, 71 nt
Filed under: Dermestes maculatus (common hide beetle)
Lineage: Eukaryota; Metazoa; Arthropoda; Insecta; Coleoptera; Dermestidae
Also listed under: 1 other name
Description: tRNA-Met
Rfam family: tRNA
About the family: Transfer RNA (tRNA) molecules are approximately 80 nucleotides in length. Their secondary structure includes four short double-helical elements and three loops (D, anti-codon, and T loops).
Source: RNAcentral